RNAcentral lists this ribosomal RNA (229 nucleotides) under uncultured bacterium. Its description in RNAcentral is "partial 16S ribosomal RNA". It matches the Rfam family "Bacterial small subunit ribosomal RNA", at positions 88 to 334 of the family's 1533-position model. The record is from RNAcentral.
UACGGGAGCGGCAGACGGGAGAGUAACACGUGGGAACGUACCCUUCAGUUCGGAAUAACCCAGGGAAACUUGGACUAAUACCGAAUACGUCCGUAAGGAGAAAGAUUUAUCGCUGAAGGAUCGGCCCGCGUCUGAUUAGCUUGUUGGUGAGGUAACGGCUCACCAAGGCGACGAUCAGUAGCUGGUCUGAGAGGAUGAUCAGCCUCACUGGGACUGAGACACGGCCCAG